Molecule: ribosomal RNA, 1012 nt
Filed under: Pseudoniphargus stocki
Lineage: Eukaryota; Metazoa; Arthropoda; Malacostraca; Amphipoda; Allocrangonyctidae
Description: 16S ribosomal RNA
Rfam family: Archaeal large subunit ribosomal RNA (bases 796-954)
Source: RNAcentral
UUAUUGAAUUUAUUUUUAUUUUGGAUAAGAAUAUAAUAUUAGUACCUUUUGUAUCAGGGUUGUUUAAUUAGGAUAAUAAUUUAAAUUUCUCGAUAUUAACUGAGUUAAAUAAAAUAGCUUGUGUUGAAUAAUUAUCUGAAUUUAUUUAGUAGUGAAAAUUUUUCGUGGUUAAAGGUAUCUAGUUACUUAUAAAGUUGAUAAGAGGGUUAAGCUUUUUAUUUUUAUAUAUUUUUUGAUAAGGGUGAUAAAUUAGGCUUAAGAUUAGCUAUAUUUAUAAUUUGUUUUAAAUUUUUUAUGUUGAGAAUUAAGCAUUAUUUUUAGAGGUUGUUUUGUUUUAUAAAUUAAUAUAAUAAAUAAUGAGUAAAUUAGUAUUUUUUUUUUUUCUGUAGGGUAUAACUCGAUAAUUGUAGAAUAGUUUAUCAAAAACAUUUUUUUAUAUUAUAUAAAAUAAGGCCUGCCCAGUGUGUAUUAUAAAUGGCUGCAGUAUUUUGACUGUGCUAAGGUAGCAUAAUAAUUUGUUUUUUAAUUGUUAACUGGAAUGAAAGGUUUUAUCUAUGAAAGGUUUUAUUUAUAGUGGAAAUAAUUUAUAUUUAUAGUAAAAAUACUAUAAUUUAGUUAAGUGACGAUAAGACCCUAUAAGCUUUAUUUAUAGGGUAAAGGGGUUAAGGAUUUAGCGGGGUUUUGGUUUUAUUAAUUUUGCUGGGGCAGUGGUAUUAUUUAAAUUAAUAAGGUUAAAACAUAGUUGGAUGUGUAUAAGAUCUUUUUAUAAAGAUAAUUAGUGUUAGUUACUGUAGGGAUAACAGCGCAAUAAUUUUGGAGAGGCCAUAUCGAUAAAAUUGAUUGCGACCUCGAUGUUGAAUUAAAAUUUCUUUUUGUUGCAGAAGGCAUAAGAGAAGGUUUGUUCAACCUUUAAUUUUUUACAUGAUUUGAGUUCAAAUCGGUUUAAGCCAGAUUGGUUUCUAUCUUUUAUAUAUUAUUAUUUAUGUAAGUACGAAAGGGACACAUAAUAUUU